GGAGCCGGUAAUACCCGAAGUCAGUAGCCUAACCGCAAGGGGGCGCUGCCGAAGGUAGGAUUGGCGACGUGGGGUGAAGUCGUAACAAGGUACC
Molecule: ribosomal RNA, 94 nt
Filed under: uncultured bacterium
Lineage: Bacteria
Description: partial 16S ribosomal RNA
Source: RNAcentral